Molecule: long non-coding RNA, 753 nt
Organism: Passer domesticus (house sparrow)
Lineage: Eukaryota; Metazoa; Chordata; Aves; Passeriformes; Passeridae
Exons: 4
Source: RefSeq, a predicted model, not a curated record
ACCAGCAAGCUAAAGAGCUGAAAUCACAAAGAGCUGAUAAUCACUAAGAGCUGAUAUCACUUGAGCUUGCCUAAGGUUGCCUGUGGCUGGAAGUUACUUGGGAGCUUGGGUGCUGUGCUCAGCCCACUGAGCUAUCCUGGCGAAGGCAGCCCACUGGGCAAAGCCCGGCUGGAAGCCGCCCGAUACUCUGCCAUCAGUGGGAGGUGCCCUGAACACAACAAAGCACAACAUCAAACCAAACAAAAUGUCUCAGAAAGCUACAGUAUUUGCAAUGAGCUGUCACAGAACCCCUUUCCUGCUUUUGAAAGAAGUGGCUGAAUGCCCAGCACCUGCCUCCAUACUGACAUUUUUCUGAAACACCAAGGGAAAGGAAGAAAGACUGAAGGGACUGCAGCACAGUUUUGUAAACUAAAGAGAUGAAGAGCAGAUAGGGAGAGAGAGAAGAAAAAAACUUUUAAAAUGUUAGCUAAAACACAGCAACAGCAACAGGAAUAACACCUCCUACCUAUGAACAUUGCUCUUCAAGAUUAGCCAGAGGGAUGAAACACAAAGAACAGUGACUUCCCAGGAAAACAAAAACAAAAAAAGCCAAUAAAAGGCAAAACCAAACUAAAACUAAGAUUCAUAUCUUAUUGUUGAUUUGGCUGUGUGAUAGCAAUAACAGAGUUACUGAGGCUUGGCAUAUGUAAAUUUAGCACAAUGGAGGUAGGUUUAUGUCAUAAACACCUACAGUAAUAGUUCUAUGUACAUAAA